RNAcentral lists this small nuclear RNA (140 nucleotides) under Callithrix jacchus (white-tufted-ear marmoset). Its description in RNAcentral is "U4 spliceosomal RNA (ENSCJAG00000045117.2)". The stretch from base 1 to 80 matches the Rfam family "U4 spliceosomal RNA". From Rfam's summary of the family: U4 small nuclear RNA (U4 snRNA) is a component of the major U2-dependent spliceosome. The record is from RNAcentral. Lineage: Eukaryota; Metazoa; Chordata; Mammalia; Primates; Cebidae.
AGCUUUGCACGGUGGCAGUAUCAUAGCCAAUGAGGUUUAUCCGAGGCGCGAUUAUUGCUAGUUGAGAACUUUUCCCAGAGUAAGUCUUUUACUACGUUAAGUUACAUCAUGAUACUCAUCUGUUCAAACCUCCAUUGUGU